This 96-nucleotide transfer RNA is filed under the name Thielaviopsis punctulata. RNAcentral's name for it is "Ceratocystis radicicola tRNA". It matches the Rfam family "tRNA". Rfam says of the family: Transfer RNA (tRNA) molecules are approximately 80 nucleotides in length. The record is from Rfam by way of RNAcentral. Lineage: Eukaryota; Fungi; Ascomycota; Sordariomycetes; Microascales; Ceratocystidaceae.
GGCACUAUGGCCGAGUGGUUAAGGCGCUGCCCUGCUAUAUCUGUUGCAGCACAGGCAGUCCGUUCGCGGGCGCGUGUUCGAAUCACGUUGGUGUCG